GAAUUGUUCGCAAUGGGCGCAAGCCUGACGACGCAACGCCGCGUGGAGGAUGAAGACCUUCGGGUCGUAAACUCCUUUCGACCGAGAUGAAUACCUGGCGACUCACUACGUUUGCAGGCUGACCGUAUCCAGGGAAGAAGCCCCGGCUAACUCCGUGCCAGCAGCCGCGGUAAUACGGGGGGGGCAAGCGUUGUUCGGAAUUACUGGGCGUAAAGGGUUCGUAGGUGGCCGGCUAAGUCAGACGUGAAAUCCCUCAGCUUAACUGGGGAACUGCGUCUGAGACUGGUCGGCUCGAGUGCAGGAGAGGAACGCGGAAUUCCAGGUGUAGCGGUGAAAUGCGUAGAUAUCUGGAGGAACACCGGUGGCGAAGGCGGCGUUCUGGACUGCUACUGACACUGAGGAACGAAAGCCAGGGGAGCAAACGGG
This 426-nucleotide ribosomal RNA is filed under the name uncultured bacterium. Its description in RNAcentral is "bacterial SSU rRNA". It matches the Rfam family "Bacterial small subunit ribosomal RNA", at positions 359 to 776 of the family's 1533-position model. The record is from RNAcentral.